This 497-nucleotide ribosomal RNA is filed under the name uncultured bacterium. Its description in RNAcentral is "partial 16S ribosomal RNA". It matches the Rfam family "Bacterial small subunit ribosomal RNA", at positions 28 to 507 of the family's 1533-position model. The record is from RNAcentral.
GAUGAACGCUGGCGGCGUGCCUAAUACAUGCAAGUCGAGCGAACGGACGAGAAGCUUGCUUUUCUGAUGUUAGCGGCGGACGGGUGAGUAACACGUGGAUAACCUACCUAUAAGACUGGGAUAACUUCGGGAAACCGGAGCUAAUACCGGAUAAUAUUUUGAACCGCAUGGUUCAUAAGUGAAAGACGGUCUUGCUGUCACUUAUAGAUGGAUCCGCGCUGCAUUAGCUAGUUGGUAAGGUAACGGCUUACCAAGGCAACGAUGCAUAGCCGACCUGAGAGGGUGAUCCGGCACACUGGAACUGAGACACGGUCCAGACUCCUACGGGAGGCAGCAGUAGGGAAUCUUCCGCAAUGGGCGAAAGCCUGACGGAGCAACGCCGCGUGAGUGAUGAAGGUCUUCGGAUCGUAAAACUCUGUUAUUAGGGAAGAACAUAUGUGUAAGUAACUGUGCACAUCUUGACGGUACCUAAUCAGAAAGCCACGGCUAACUACGUG